RNAcentral lists this ribosomal RNA (489 nucleotides) under uncultured bacterium. RNAcentral describes it as "bacterial SSU rRNA". It matches the Rfam family "Bacterial small subunit ribosomal RNA", at positions 28 to 528 of the family's 1533-position model. The record is from RNAcentral.
GACGAACGCUGGCGGCGUGCCUAACACAUGCAAGUCGAGCGAGUGAAUCUCCUUCGGGAGUGAAACUAGCGGCGGACGGGUGAGUAACACGUGGGCAACCUGCCUCAUAGAGGGGAAUAGCCUUUCGAAAGGAAGAUUAAUACCGCAUAAGAUUGUAGCUUCGCAUGAAGUAGCAAUUAAAGGAGUAAUUCGCUAUGAGAUGGGCCCGCGGCGCAUUAGCUAGUUGGUGAGGUAACGGCUCACCAAGGCGACGAUGCGUAGCCGACCUGAGAGGGUGAUCGGCCACAUUGGGACUGAGACACGGCCCAGACUCCUACGGGAGGCAGCAGUGGGGAAUAUUGCACAAUGGGGGAAACCCUGAUGCAGCAACGCCGCGUGAGUGAUGACGGCCUUCGGGUUGUAAAGCUCUGUCUUCAGGGACGAUAAUGACGGUACCUGAGGAGGAAGACCACGGCUAACUACGUGCCAGCAGCCGCGGUAAAGCUACGU